CGAGGGGCGCUUUGGCGCAGCUGGCGGAUGAAGAUGAAAAGGCAGUGGAGGCAGAGGAGCGUUUGGAUCUGGUGGCUCUUUUCUACAAGGACAAGACAUCUUGAGCAAGAGAGUCCAGUGAAGGACGCUUAGCCUUGGGCGAGGUGAGCCCUGAAGCUUGAGAGCGCCCUAACGAGGAGUCUUUACCAUCCUUCCUGAACAAAUUUCACACCUGAGUGGGCCGGAACGUGGCAGGAGCAAACGGGCUCACGAUAAAGACGCCACGACGUGGCUGCAUGCAGCAUGCACAGACUCCAUCAUGCACUUUGGUUCAGGAUGCUGACCUCUCUUUCUUCAUAUUCACAGAGGGGCGCCUGAUGGGAAGGGGGGGGCGAGCGGGCCGAGGAGGGGAGGGGAAGCGGGUGGGAUAGAGAACGCUGCUGUCCAGAACUCCUCUCCUGAAAUGAAGAAGCGCCUUCUGAAAGGUCCGCUGUCUUGUGACAUUUCAGCAUGACGUUUGUUCAGGUGAACACCUCAAAACAGGUGCGUCCGAGUCCAUGUUGGAAAAGUUGCUACAAAAAAAUAAAAUAAACUAGCACUGGUGAUGGCACCAAAACUGUGCUCUCUUCCAGUGAUACUGCCACCUACUGCAGUGGAUGUCUAAUUACCCUUUAAUCUAGUACAGCCAAAAAAAAAGUAUGUUCCUAUGGUAUUGCGCCGCGCCCGCCCUACUAUGUGAGAA
Syngnathus typhle (broad-nosed pipefish) is the source of this 721-nucleotide long non-coding RNA. RefSeq lists it as uncharacterized. The transcript has 2 exons. Lineage: Eukaryota; Metazoa; Chordata; Actinopteri; Syngnathiformes; Syngnathidae. The record is from RefSeq and is a predicted model, not a curated record.